AUUUCGGGGUAGGUAUAUCAUAAUCACUUUUGGGUAUUUGCAGU
RNAcentral lists this non-coding RNA (44 nucleotides) under Plasmodium falciparum 3D7. The record is from RNAcentral. Lineage: Eukaryota; Apicomplexa; Aconoidasida; Haemosporida; Plasmodiidae.